Molecule: long non-coding RNA, 742 nt
Organism: Xiphias gladius (swordfish)
Lineage: Eukaryota; Metazoa; Chordata; Actinopteri; Istiophoriformes; Xiphiidae
Exons: 7
Source: RefSeq, a predicted model, not a curated record
CAUGGGCAGACUCUGCUUCAGCCUCUGGAUGACGGCUCUUCGGCCACGACGCAGAGCGUCGCAGUUUCGAUGUCCUCAGAAUUUGUCACGAAUUAAAAAUACCAGCUAGGAAAGGACGGAAGUAGAUCGUAGAAUGAGUCUGCUUGUUGAACCUGCUAAGCCGACGACGUCUGGAGCACAAAGUUUGCAAAUGGAUGAAGAUCACACUAAAGAUGGAUGCAGUGGCCACCUUGGGCUUCUCAGAGCACAGAAGGAAUGGUUUAAUGCCCCUGGCUGAGUCCUGUAUUCCUACCUUGAGAAAAGUCUGUGGCCAUGAGCUCGCGGUUUUAACACUAGGGUGACUAGAUGGAGACUACUCUUCCAGGUCGUCCACACAGACAGGAGUUGGCGUGACAGUUCAGCAACUGUAUGACUGACAGCCCAAACUGGAUGACAUUCAGACACAAUGAAUGGAGCAGGUGUGCUGCAACUUGUGAGUUGGGACUGCUACAAGCUUCAAAGGUGGUCGAUAUCAAGUCAUCCAGGGAAAGGAUGACUAACAGUCAGAAGAUGGGCUCCCAUCAUAGCUAUACAUUUAAACAAAUCAGUCUCUGAAAACUGGCUCUUCAACAUUUUGAGGUAGCUUGAGCGUUAGAGUUGUUUCCUGUCUUGUUUGUGCAAAGCUUUUCCACAGCGGUUAUGUCUUGAACCCUUGAGAAAACAUAUGUGGGGAAAUAUUAAAUAAAAUGGUUGACAACAAAGA